GUUCACUGCUGGCAUAGGAGGCAUCAACAUUGCCUGGCUGCAAGGCUGCUUGUAUCCUCCUGGAGAGCCACUCCUGAACUGUGAGUUGACCAUAGCAGAUACCACCAUUGAGUCCAUCCCCCUCAACACCCUUAAAGGAGCUCCCUCACCAACCUUCCUAUCCCAGAAGAAGUCUGUUAUGCCAUCUAGGAAACCAAGAACUGGAUGGCAUACCUGCUGAAAUCUACAAGACUGGCAGUGAGAAAAUGGUACUGAGACUCUAUGAAUUUAUUCUAUGAUUUUGCAACAAUGAAGUGAUCCUGGGGGACGAGAGGAGUGCCAACAUUGUGACUAUCUUCAAGAAAGGAGGUCCAAGAAAAGUGUCAGGAACAACAUUAGGACCUGUAUAUGGCCUUCAUUGACCUCACUUAGGCCUUUGAUUCUGUCAAUUGUGAAGCCUUUUGGAAAGUAUUGGCUAAAACUUGGAUGUCCUGAAAAGUACAUUAAAGCCCUGAGACUUCUUCAUGA
Long non-coding RNA from Alligator mississippiensis (American alligator), 507 nucleotides. RefSeq lists it as uncharacterized. The record is from RefSeq and is a predicted model, not a curated record. The transcript has 3 exons. NCBI's taxonomy places the organism in Eukaryota, Metazoa, Chordata, Crocodylia, Alligatoridae.